This 467-nucleotide ribosomal RNA is filed under the name uncultured bacterium. RNAcentral's name for it is "bacterial SSU rRNA". It matches the Rfam family "Bacterial small subunit ribosomal RNA", at positions 355 to 825 of the family's 1533-position model. The record is from RNAcentral.
UGAGGAAUAUUGGACAAUGGGCGCAAGCCUGAUCCAGCCAUGCCGCGUGCAGGAUGACGGUCCUAUGGAUUGUAAACUGCUUUUGUACAGGAAGAAACAGUUCUACGUGUAGAACCUUGACGGUACUGUAAGAAUAAGGAUCGGCUAACUCCGUGCCAGCAGCCGCGGUAAUACGGAGGAUCCAAGCGUUAUCCGGAAUCAUUGGGUUUAAAGGGUCCGUAGGCGGUUAGAUAAGUCAGUGGUGAAAGCCCAUCGCUCAACGGUGGAACGGCCAUUGAUACUGUCUGACUUGAAUUAUUAGGAAGUAACUAGAAUAUGUAGUGUAGCGGUGAAAUGCCUAGAGAUUACAUGGAAUACCAAUUGCGAAGGCAGGUUACUACUAAUGGAUUGACGCUGAUGGACGAAAGCGUGGGUAGCGAACAGGAUUAGAUACCCCGGUAGUCCCUGAGCGGGCUGGCAAGGCGCAU